GUCGACGAUUUGGCGGACGGGUGAGUAACGCGUGGGAACAUACCCUUUCCUGCGGAAUAGCUCCGGGAAACUGGAAUUAAUACCGCAUACGCCCUACGGGGGAAAGAUUUAUCGGGGAAGGAUUGGCCCGCGUUGGAUUAGCUAGUUGGUGGGGUAAAGGCCUACCAAGGCGACGAUCCAUAGCUGGUCUGAGAGGAUGAUCAGCCACAUUGGGACUGAGACACGGCCCAAACUCCUACGGGAGGCAGCAGUGGGGAAUAUUGGACAAUGGGCGCAAGCCUGAUCCAGCCAUGCCGCGUGAGUGAUGAAGGCCUUAGGGUUGUAAAGCUCUUUCACCGGAGAAGAUAAUGACGGUAUCCGGAGAAGAAGCCCCGGCUAACUUCGUGCCAGCAGCCGCGGUAAUAAUCUCUAGA
This 413-nucleotide ribosomal RNA is filed under the name uncultured Rhizobium sp. RNAcentral's name for it is "bacterial SSU rRNA". It matches the Rfam family "Bacterial small subunit ribosomal RNA", at positions 86 to 530 of the family's 1533-position model. The record is from RNAcentral. Lineage: Bacteria; Pseudomonadati; Pseudomonadota; Alphaproteobacteria; Hyphomicrobiales; Rhizobiaceae.